Molecule: non-coding RNA, 31 nt
Filed under: Rattus norvegicus (Norway rat)
Lineage: Eukaryota; Metazoa; Chordata; Mammalia; Rodentia; Muridae
Source: RNAcentral
UGGAAUUGUUUUUUCAGGAACGCCUAUUGCC